Molecule: transfer RNA, 84 nt
Filed under: Echinostoma caproni
Lineage: Eukaryota; Metazoa; Platyhelminthes; Trematoda; Plagiorchiida; Echinostomatidae
Rfam family: tRNA
About the family: Transfer RNA (tRNA) molecules are approximately 80 nucleotides in length. Their secondary structure includes four short double-helical elements and three loops (D, anti-codon, and T loops). Further hydrogen bonds mediate the characteristic L-shaped molecular structure. tRNAs have two regions of fundamental functional importance: the anti-codon, which is responsible for specific mRNA codon recognition, and the 3' end, to which the tRNAs corresponding amino acid is attached (by aminoacyl-tRNA synthetases). tRNAs cope with the degeneracy of the genetic code in two manners: having more than one tRNA (with a specific anti-codon) for a particular amino acid; and 'wobble' base-pairing, i.e. permitting non-standard base-pairing at the 3rd anti-codon position.
Source: Rfam by way of RNAcentral
AGGCCUGUAGCUCAGCUGGUAGAGCGUGCGCUGUACGAAAACGUAGGUGGCGUCGAUGCGUGGGUUCGAAUCCAACCAAGGCUG